Non-coding RNA from Cinara cedri, 354 nucleotides. The record is from the annotation of a GenBank genome assembly. Lineage: Eukaryota; Metazoa; Arthropoda; Insecta; Hemiptera; Aphididae.
AUAUCUAGACACUAAAUCGUAUUUAGUAUUUACUAUCUUAGUGUAUUUUUCAUUUUUGUAAAUAAAGUUUAAAAGAAUCAGUUAGAAGUUUAUUAAUAGCCUGCAUCUCCGCUAUGUCGUAGCUUGUUCGACGAGUACAUGCGAUUUCUGUCCGAUUUCUUAUCUAUCGUGCCUGUAUACGAGCCGCACUAGAUGCACCAAGACAUGGGUGUAUUACUCAUUAGUCAUUGUUGUACAGUUGUAAACUAGUAAUAUAAAAACAAAAUAUUUUUAUAAUUCAAUACCGAAAUCAAUUUAUUAUAUUAUUAUGGAAUGGUGUUCGAGUAUAUUUCACGUAAUCAGGCUAUCAGCAUU